Molecule: ribosomal RNA, 465 nt
Filed under: uncultured bacterium
Lineage: Bacteria
Description: partial 16S ribosomal RNA
Rfam family: Bacterial small subunit ribosomal RNA
Source: RNAcentral
ACGAACGCUGGCGGCGUGCUUAACACAUGCAAGUCGAACGGAAAGGCCCUGCUUGCCGGGUACUCGAGUGGCGAACGGGUGAGUAACACGUGGGUGAUCUGCCCUGCACUUCGGGAUAAGCCUGGGAAACUGGGUCUAAUACCGGAUAGGAGCCAUUUUUAGUGUGAUGGUUGGAAAGUUUUUUUCGGUGUAGGAUGAGCUCGCGGCCUAUCAGCUUGUUGGUGGGGUAAUGGCCUACCAAGGCGGCGACGGGUAGCCGGCCUGAGAGGGUGGACGGCCACAUUGGGACUGAGAUACGGCCCAGACUCCUACGGGAGGCAGCAGUGGGGAAUAUUGCACAAUGGGCGCAAGCCUGAUGCAGCGACGCCGCGUGGGGGAUGACGGCCUUCGGGUUGUAAACUCCUUUCGCUAGGGACGAAGCUUUUUGUGACGGUACCUAGAUAAGAAGCACCGGCUAACUACGUG